GAUGGGCGUCAGGCUUUGUUCCUUUCUCCCCACUCUGAGGCCGUCCAAAUCACUAGAAUCACAUCCCACAAGGGAGCCUUCUUUCUCCACUUCAGUCCCAGGUUCUCCUAGAUGCGUCCGCAGCAACGAAAGCCGUUUUCUGUAGUACGAGUUGGAGGUUGCUCCCAGUUGGACUCGGUUCGUAGCCCAGGGCACUUCUCUUGAUUCCUUCCUGCACGUAACUCAUAUUUGAAAUCACUCAUAUUUGCAGAGGGAAUCAAUAUUCAGAAUCUUCAACUCCCCUUACAGACGAGGAAACAGCCUCGACAAGCACCGAAAACAGUGCCUGCCAUUUGGAAUGCCCAAAUGAAUGAGUGACUUGGAUGAACUUCUGAGCUGAGAUCUGACUGAAGUUAGGAAGUGAGCCAGGAGAUGUCUGUGGAAGAGAAUUCCGGAUAGAGGGAACAGAAAAGGCAAAGCCCGGAAGCAGGCAGCUUGCAGGAUCUUAGUUCCCCAACCAGGGAUUGAACCCCGGCCUUCAGCAGGGAAAGUGCUGGACCGCCAGGGAAUUCCCUUAAUUUCUUUUUUUUAAACAGCUUUAUUGAGAUAUCUUUGACAUAUAAAAAUUGUAUAUAUU
Molecule: long non-coding RNA, 616 nt
Organism: Eubalaena glacialis (North Atlantic right whale)
Lineage: Eukaryota; Metazoa; Chordata; Mammalia; Artiodactyla; Balaenidae
Exons: 3
Source: RefSeq, a predicted model, not a curated record